CUGUAGGUGUGCAUCUUCCUCCUUUUCCUGCACUACACUAAUCACCUCUCACAAUCUAGUCCCCAGUUCAUGUUUAUCAAGAACUAACAAUCACCUUCGUAGCGAUAAUCAAACUGCAAGCAACUUGAUAACACUAGGUCAAUCACCGCAUAUGCAUGCAGUGGUUGCUUUUUAUUUUUGUUCGUCGAGCGGAAGAGGCUGCCGUUUUAUUACAUCACACAGACCAUUGCUACAUAAGGUUUGUUUUAUUACAAUCACACACGUACCAUUGCUAACAUAAGGUUUGCCUCCUCGCGAACACUAACAUUUGAGCCUGCCCAUCUUCAGUGCAGCUCCUUGAGGAAGUCCGCAUGAUCCACCAGAACCUGCAACCCCGAGAAU
This 381-nucleotide long non-coding RNA is filed under the name Triticum aestivum (bread wheat). RNAcentral describes it as "long non-coding RNA (TAES_LNC016518)". Lineage: Eukaryota; Viridiplantae; Streptophyta; Magnoliopsida; Poales; Poaceae. The record is from RNAcentral.